GGACUACCCGGGUUUCUAAUCCUGUUUGCUCCCCACGCUUUCGCGCCUCAGCGUCAGUUACGGUCCAGAGAGCCGCCUUCGCCACCGGUGCUCUUCCCAAUAUCUACGAAUUUCACCUCUACACUGGGAAUUCCACUCUCCUCUCCCGCACUCCAGCCUCCGAGUAUCAAAUGCCAUUCCCAGGUUGAGCCCAGGGCUUUCACAUCUGACUUCAAAGGCCGCCUGCGCGCCCUUUACGCCCAGUAAUUCCGAACAACGCUCGCCCCCUUCGUAUUACCGCGGCGGCUGGCAC
Molecule: ribosomal RNA, 292 nt
Filed under: uncultured bacterium
Lineage: Bacteria
Description: partial 16S ribosomal RNA
Source: RNAcentral